Molecule: long non-coding RNA, 683 nt
Filed under: Anneissia japonica
Lineage: Eukaryota; Metazoa; Echinodermata; Crinoidea; Comatulida; Comatulidae
Description: uncharacterized LOC117119674
Source: RNAcentral
GAGAAAUUUUUCUGCAAGAUACAAGUAACUUUGAGAUAUAUCAAAGAAUUAACAGUACUAUACAGCAUUAGAGUUGCAAGACAGGAAAAGUACAGCAAAAUAUCGGCAUUUGAACUUUAGUUAAUUUACUGUAAUUUGUGGUGCCUAUUGCAAGACAGAAAAGAAUACUGAUGUUUAGUUUGAACACGUUGCUGAAUACUGCGACGGCCUAAUUCUGGUGAAUGCGGCGAUUGUGUUAUUUAUGAAAUGUUAGUGCAGCAUCAAGACUUGCUUCAUUCUUGGAAACUGAUUAUAUUGUACUGAAGACACGAACUUGCAAUCUUAUUACAAUCAAAAAGAAACCAGAAAACUAUUAUAAUUUAUUAAUAUAGGCCUGGCAGAGCUGUUAAUUUAUUGUAUAAUGAAUUGGUGAAGGAAAACAUACAGUGAUUUUAUUAUUUAUGUAAUGUUAUUGCAGCAUCAAGACAACUUACUUCAUUCUCAAAAACUGAUUAUAUUGUACAAAAAAUGAAUUUACAGUCUUAUUACAAUCAAAGAGGAACCAGAAAACUACUAUAAUUUAUUAAUACAGGGCCUAGCACAGCAUUUAAUUUUCUGUAUAAUGAAUUGAUAAUGCCUAAUAAUUUACAGUAUGUAAUGAAUUUGGUUAUGAUGUUAAUAAAAAAUACAAGUAGUGCUGUUUU